Molecule: ribosomal RNA, 367 nt
Filed under: uncultured bacterium
Lineage: Bacteria
Description: bacterial SSU rRNA
Rfam family: Bacterial small subunit ribosomal RNA
Source: RNAcentral
CAUGGCUCAGGAUUAACGCUGGCGGCGUGCCUAACACAUGCAAGUCGAGCGGCAGCGAGUUUUACACUGAAUUCUGGAAGCUUCUAGUUGAAAGAGAAGAUUUAUUCAAGAAUUUUGUGUAAAAUGUCGGCGAGCGGCGGACGGCUGAGUAACGCGUGGGAACGUACCCCAAAGUGAGGGAUAACGCAUCGAAAGGUGUGCUAAUACCGCAUAUGGUCUUCGGAUUAAAGCCUUCGGGCGCUUUGGGAACGGCCUGCGUAAGAUUAGAUAGUUGGUGGGGUAAUGGCCUACCAAGUCGACGAUCUUUAACUGGUUUGAGAGGAUGAUCAGUCAGACUGGAACUGAGACACGGUCCAGACUCCUACGG